RNAcentral lists this long non-coding RNA (340 nucleotides) under Mytilus galloprovincialis (Mediterranean mussel). The record is from RNAcentral. Lineage: Eukaryota; Metazoa; Mollusca; Bivalvia; Mytilida; Mytilidae.
GGAGCGUGGCACUCACAUCACAACAGGCGUACAUUAGUCCAUUAUCGGACGUGACUGUAUAAUUGAUAUAUUUGUAAUUUCAAAGUAAAAAUGAUUCUCUGAAAACUUAAGAUACUGUGCAAAGGGAGGCAAAUCUAAUUUACCAAAAAGGUGCCAUAUCGCCAGCUGAUGGUGCUAUAUCAGCAGGUACUCUAUCAGCAGGUAAGUGAUCUAGACCGUACUGGUAUAUUUAUACAUCCCAUACAAUGCAAUAUUUCUAUAUGCAUACCCCAGUUAAAUGUUGGAAUACUCUUCAAUACAGUUAUAUAUUAUAAUUCUUUAAUAGAGGAAUUAAAGUUCG